AACGAACGCUGGCGGCAUGCCUAACACAUGCAAGUCGAACGAGAUCUUCGGGUCUAGUGGCGCACGGGUGCGUAACGCGUGGGAAUCUGCCCUUUGGUUCGGAAUAACAGUUGGAAACGACUGCUAAUACCGGAUGAUGACGAAAGUCCAAAGAUUUAUCGCCAGAGGAUGAGCCCGCGUAGGAUUAGCUAGUUGGUGUGGUAAAGGCGCACCAAGGCGACGAUCCUUAGCUGGUCUGUGAGGAUGAUCAGCCACACUGGGACUGAGACACGGCCCAGACUCCUACGGGAGGCAGCAGUGGGGAAUAUUGGACAAUGGGCGAAAGCCUGAUCCAGCAGUGCCGCGUGAGUGAUGAAGGCCUUAGUGUUGUAAAGCUCUUUUACCCGGGAUGAUAAUGACAGUACCGGGAGAAUAAGCUCCGGCUAACUCCGUGCCAGCAGCCGCGGUAA
This 449-nucleotide ribosomal RNA is filed under the name uncultured bacterium. RNAcentral describes it as "partial 16S ribosomal RNA". It matches the Rfam family "Bacterial small subunit ribosomal RNA", at positions 29 to 523 of the family's 1533-position model. The record is from RNAcentral.